ACACGAGAAAGGAGGUGAUCCGGUAAAUGAUGCUUACCCGGACGCGUGAGGUGGCUGCGGCCUAGAGCCGACGCCACAGUGUGACGCCGGUAUCGCCGGCCAAUCUCAAUGCAGUCACCCGGCCCGCGGGCUCGUCGGACUCGUCCGACCGGCGCCGUUCGCCCACCGCGAGCGGAGCAGCCCGCGGGCCGUUCUGC
RNAcentral lists this small RNA (197 nucleotides) under Streptomyces abyssalis. Its description in RNAcentral is "Actinobacteria sRNA Ms_IGR-5". It matches the Rfam family "Actinobacteria sRNA Ms_IGR-5". Lineage: Bacteria; Bacillati; Actinomycetota; Actinomycetes; Kitasatosporales; Streptomycetaceae. The record is from Rfam by way of RNAcentral.